UCCCUGAUAGCUCAACUGGUAAAGAAUCUGCCUGCAAUGCAGGAGACCCUGGUUUGAUUCCUGGGUCGGGAA
Molecule: transfer RNA, 72 nt
Filed under: Bos taurus (domestic cattle)
Lineage: Eukaryota; Metazoa; Chordata; Mammalia; Artiodactyla; Bovidae
Also listed under: 4 other names
Rfam family: tRNA
About the family: Transfer RNA (tRNA) molecules are approximately 80 nucleotides in length. Their secondary structure includes four short double-helical elements and three loops (D, anti-codon, and T loops).
Source: Rfam by way of RNAcentral